Long non-coding RNA from Temnothorax curvispinosus, 485 nucleotides. RefSeq lists it as uncharacterized. The record is from RefSeq and is a predicted model, not a curated record. NCBI's taxonomy places the organism in Eukaryota, Metazoa, Arthropoda, Insecta, Hymenoptera, Formicidae. The transcript has 3 exons.
UAAAGAAUAUUAAAAAGCACAUCAAUAUAACUUUUUGCUAAUAACUUUUUUUUCUGUACAGGUAUCCCAUUUUAGUGUUGUAGCUGGGAGAGGGGUACAUGAAGGAGAAAUGGCUACUAGUAUAUGUAAGAAGAUUUUCUCUUCUGAGGUUGCAUUACAACUGAAUUGGACAGGGACAGAGAUAAAAAAAGGAAUCAAGUCACUAAAGUGUGAUGCAUGUGGCAAACAAUAUAAAAGAAAUUUUUCGAGAUCAAAAGUCACAGGCUCCAUAAGUACGUGGCUUCGAAGUAAUUCAAAGAGGAGAGCCAUAAAUAAUGUUGAUUUGCCAAGAUAAUAAAGAUUUUUCAAAGGUUGAUUACCUCCCUUAUAGGUGACAAGAGGUAACAACGAAAGCAGCUAGGACUAUAUACACGAGUGGUUAUAACCAAGAUGGGUCGAUAUUCGCACGGCUAUCCGUAAAUGCAGCGCAGAAGCAUUUUAUUUUA